AGCGAACGCUGGCGGCAGGCCUAACACAUGCAAGUCGAACGGAUCCUUCGGGAUUAGUGGCGGACGGGUGAGUAACACGUGGGAACGUGCCCUUUGGUUCGGAACAACUCAGGGAAACUUGAGCUAAUACCGGAUGUGCCCUUCGGGGGAAAGAUUUAUCGCCAUUGGAGCGGCCCGCGUCUGAUUAGCUAGUUGGUGAGGUAACGGCCCACCAAGGCGACGAUCAGUAGCUGGGUUGAGAGGAUGAUCAGCCACACUGGGACUGAGACACGGCCCAGACUCCUACGGGAAGCAGCAGUGGGGAAUCUUGCGCAAUGGGCGAAAGCCUGACGCAGCCAUGCCGCGUGAAUGAUGAAGGUCUUAGGAUUGUAAAAUUCUUUCAGCGGGGACGAUAAUGACGGUACCCGCAGAAGAAGCUCCGGCUAACUUCGUG
Molecule: ribosomal RNA, 433 nt
Filed under: uncultured bacterium
Lineage: Bacteria
Description: partial 16S ribosomal RNA
Rfam family: Bacterial small subunit ribosomal RNA
Source: RNAcentral